GUCCCCUUCGUCUAGUGGUUAGGACGCCAGAUUUUCAUUCUGGAAACAGGAGUUCAAUUCUCCUAGGGGAUGCCA
RNAcentral lists this transfer RNA (75 nucleotides) under Sneathiella glossodoripedis. Its description in RNAcentral is "tRNA-Glu". It matches the Rfam family "tRNA". Rfam says of the family: Transfer RNA (tRNA) molecules are approximately 80 nucleotides in length. Their secondary structure includes four short double-helical elements and three loops (D, anti-codon, and T loops). RNAcentral also lists the same sequence under 3 other names. The record is from RNAcentral. Lineage: Bacteria; Pseudomonadati; Pseudomonadota; Alphaproteobacteria; Sneathiellales; Sneathiellaceae.